This 373-nucleotide ribosomal RNA is filed under the name uncultured bacterium. Its description in RNAcentral is "bacterial SSU rRNA". It matches the Rfam family "Bacterial small subunit ribosomal RNA", at positions 525 to 896 of the family's 1533-position model. The record is from RNAcentral.
ACGGAGGGUGCAAGCGUUGUUCGGAAUUAUUGGGCGUAAAGCGCGUGUAGGCGGUUUGGUAAGUCAGAUGUGAAAGCCCUGGGCUCAACCCAGGAAGUGCAUUUGAUACUGCCUUACUCGAGUAUGGGAGAGGAGAGUGGAAUUCCCAGUGUAGAGGUGAAAUUCGUAGAUAUUGGGAGGAACACCCGUGGCGAAGGCGACUCUCUGGACCAAUACUGACGCUGAGACGCGAAAGCGUGGGGAGCAAACAGGAUUAGAUACCCUGGUAGUCCACGCCGUAAACGAUGAGAACUAGGUGUAGCGGGUAUUGACCCCUGCUGUGCCGUAGCUAACGCAUUAAGUUCUCCGCCUGGGGAGUACGGCCGCAAGGCUA